Molecule: long non-coding RNA, 1142 nt
Filed under: Marmota monax (woodchuck)
Lineage: Eukaryota; Metazoa; Chordata; Mammalia; Rodentia; Sciuridae
Source: RNAcentral
UCUAAACCACGUAUUCAAAACAUAAGAAUAUAGAAAAACAGAAAACCAAAAAGAUGAAAAAUAUGUAAAAAGCAAAUAAUAACCAAAGCUAGUUUUAAUGUAAUAUUAUCAGACAAAAUUGACUAUACAGUAGAAAGCUAUAUAGACAGAUUACUUCAUGAUGAUCAAAGUUUUAAUAUAGGAGAAAUACAUAAAAUGUUUUAUAUGAAAUUAAGAAUAUAGCCUCAGCAGCACAAUUCACAAUAUCUAAAUUAUGGAACCAACCUAGAUUCCCUCCAGUAUCCAAUGGAUAGGGAAACUUUGGUAUACAUACAUAAUGGAAUAUUACUCAGCAUUAAAAGAGGAUAAAAUCAUGGUAUUUGCAGGUAAAUGGAUGAAGUUGGAGCAUAAAAUGCUAAGUGAAGCAAGCCAAUCCCAAAAAACCAAUGGCCAAAUGUUUUCUUUGAUAUGAGAAUGCUGGCUCAUAAUGGUGAUGGGGCAGGGAGCAAGGGAGGAAUGGAGGAACUCUAUAGAUAGAGCAAAGGGGAGGGAGAGGAAAGGAGGGGAUAAGGAGGUAGGAAUGAUGGUGGAAUGAGUUCGACAUCCUUACCCUAAGUAUAUGUAUAAAGAUAUGAAUGGUGUGAAAGUACUUUGUGUACAAUCUUGACUUGAAAAAUUGUGCUCUAUAUGUCUAAUAUGAAAUGAAUUGCAUUCUGCCAUCAUGUAUAACAAAUUAGAAUAAAUAAAUAAUUUAAUAAAAAAAGAAUAGCCUCAAAUAUGUUUUAAGGCUGGAGGUGUAGCUUGGUGUUGCAGUAUGUAUUUACCGUGCAUAUUUAGCAAGCAUGAAGUUCUGGGUUCAAUCCCCAGCACCAAAAAACAAAUGAAAUAUUUCCAAUGGUAGUAGAAGAUUUUAACCUACCAUUGUCAGUACUUGAUAGAACAAAUAGAAAAAGUACAAUAGAUGUGAAAGAAUUGAACAUAAUUAACAAAUUUGAUCAGAAAGACACAUUUUUCAUAAGCACACACAGAACAUUUAUAAUAUAAAUCACAUAUGAUACCAUAAAAUAAGUUUUAACAGCUUUCAAAGGAUUAGAGUCAUGCAGGCUAUAUCCUGGCUGCAAUACAAUUUAGAUAAAAUCUAAUAACAAAAGUGAACCAUUAAU